GGGGAUGUUCGGCUUCGACGGGAGAGGCUGACCCCGAACUGCGAGUCGAGAGGUGCCGACCUCGUAAAAUCCGCACAACGAAUUAAGUGCCAAUAAAAGCACAUCAUACGCAGCAAUGCCCCUCGCAGCCUAACGCGAUCGGUUAACUGCCAAUAGUCUUUUGAGACUACGUCCGCCUACCCCUAACUCUGGCUGGUGGUAGACCGGGCGACACAAAGCUGGAGUGCCGCAUGCGCAAAUGACGCUAACCAUGCGAAAGAUGACUUUCGGGUCAAAGGGUCUGGCUGACCACAGGUUUGUUGGUAUCGCCUGAAUCAGUGAGGAGAAAAAACCAUCUACACUCGUAGACGUUCGCCGGUUUAAUCUUUCGGACGCGGGUUCGAUUCCCGCCAUCUCCACUA
RNAcentral lists this transfer-messenger RNA (401 nucleotides) under Anaerolineaceae bacterium. It matches the Rfam family "transfer-messenger RNA". From Rfam's summary of the family: Bacterial tmRNA, also known as 10Sa RNA or SsrA, is named for its dual tRNA and mRNA-like properties. Its role is to liberate the mRNA from a stalled ribosome. The record is from RNAcentral. Lineage: Bacteria; Bacillati; Chloroflexota; Anaerolineae; Anaerolineales; Anaerolineaceae.